RNAcentral lists this non-coding RNA (111 nucleotides) under Tepidibacillus decaturensis. RNAcentral describes it as "Molybdenum/Tungsten riboswitch aptamer (Moco RNA motif)". It matches the Rfam family "Molybdenum/Tungsten riboswitch aptamer (Moco RNA motif)". RNAcentral also lists the same sequence under 1 other name. The record is from Rfam by way of RNAcentral. Lineage: Bacteria; Bacillati; Bacillota; Bacilli; Caryophanales; Bacillaceae.
UAAAUAUGUUGUCCCCGAGCUGCAUUGUCCCCCUGGGAGAAUGUAGCCGCUGGGUGUAAAAAGCAAUUUUUACGCCUUCCGCUUUUGAAAAGGGGGCCUUCUUAAUCCAAG